UAAUGUUUGUAAGUCGUCUUA
RNAcentral lists this non-coding RNA (21 nucleotides) under Arabidopsis thaliana (thale cress). Lineage: Eukaryota; Viridiplantae; Streptophyta; Magnoliopsida; Brassicales; Brassicaceae. The record is from RNAcentral.